Molecule: RNA transcript, 1930 nt
Organism: Zingiber officinale
Lineage: Eukaryota; Viridiplantae; Streptophyta; Magnoliopsida; Zingiberales; Zingiberaceae
Gene name: MLO-like protein 7
Exons: 6
Source: RefSeq, a predicted model, not a curated record
UAGAUCCUUUCCCGAUCAGGAUCAAGACACGAUGAACUUGCUUCUCCGUCCAACCACACCGCAUCUCCUCCAACUCCUCCAUUUGGUUGAGAAGAGGAGGCCUUGGUAGCGUACAACAUUCCCACCCGCGCGUCCAGAGCCACCGGCACCACCUCCUCCGCCACCUCUGCAAACAGCGGGCUGAACCGCAGCAGGUACGGCUCCCGGCACGUCGUCCCCUCCGGGCACACCGCCAGGCCCCCCUCCAUCGCCAGCAGCCGCCGCAUCGUCGCCGCGUCUCGUCCCCUGUCCCGGGUCAGCCGCACAGUCCGCAUCGGCGCCAACGCCUCCGACACCCGGAUCGUCUCCGCAUCGAUUUUUCGCUCUUUAAUUCUACUGCCAGAUCCUCUGUGAUCGGAUUCGGUUAAGGGUUUCGGUUUGUAGAUCGACUGGUUCUACUGCCAGAUCGUUUUCAUUCAACACAGAGCAUGAAAACGAUCGGCUUAUUUGGGAUUUUCUUCAAAAUCUUGUUUGCUAAAAUGAUCUAGUUGGGAAAAAUAAAGAGUAUAGAAGAAAAUGGAAUUUUCUUUCUUUGUUCUCGAAUAGGGUUUCCGAUUUCCAUCACAUCCGACGGCAGCUAUUUUCCAUUUGGCAUUUCCGUCCAUCGCCGGCAGGCAGGAUCAUGGCCGUCCAAGCCCAGGCGGCCGCCGAAGCGGCGCUUCUCCAAUCGCUGAAUUGCAACAGCACAGUUCCGGUGGCGGAAUUGCUCGCCGCAGCUCGAUUUCUGCUCACGGACCUAGUCAAUAAGAUGCCUGAGGUCCAGCUUGGCCAGAAGAGUGAGUACUUAGAAGAAGAUGGAGACAGGGAUAGCGAUGGGGAUGGCAAGGGAGACAAAGAUGGAGAUUCGGAGGGAGGAGGAGAGGAGCACUCGGAGGAAGACAAUGUGGGCCGUGAAAACCCAAAUGAUGCGAACAGCAAUGAAGCUGCAGGAGGUGAUGAGGAUGAUGAUGGAGGCAAACCAGAUGAGAAUGAAGGGGAAGAGCCUGAAGAUCAGGAUCCCAAUGACAACAAUGAACAAGAUGAUGACGAUGACGACGAUGAUGAUAGUGGUAAUGCUGAGGAUGAGGGGGAAGAGGAGGAAGAGGAGGAAGAGGAUGAUGAAGAAGAGGUUGAAGACAUAAUUCAACGCCCAAAAAAGAGAAAGAAAUGAAUGAUCAAGUUUGACAUUUAGCUACUGUUAUUCACCUUGCUUUGUUCAGCCGUUUUAAGUCAUUAAUCUUGGAGAAUUAUCAUGUAAUGGACCAGAACAAACUUUGAUUUUUGAGAAUAUACAACCUCAUUUUGCUUUCUCAGGUACAGAAGAUCUCUAGAUAAAGUUAUUCCAAAAACAAAUCUUAUGAUCAAUGUGGUUGGGAUAAAAUCUUGGUGAUGGCCAGUUAAUAAAAAGUGACCAUAAAAGGUUGAAAUUUGAUCCUGGCAGAUCAGAUGAUAUCAGAUGAAGGGGGUGGCAUACCAAGAAGUGGUCUUCCAAAGAUUUUCACAUAUCUCUAUAGCACUGCUAAAAAUCCACUCGAGGAAAACGAUGAAGGAAGCUCAGAUGGAGUAAUUAUGGCUGGUUAUGGUUAUGGGCUUCCAAUUAGUCGUCUCUAUGCUCGCUAUUUUGGUGGUGAUUUACAAAUUAUCUCUAUGGAAGGAUAUGAUACACAGAUGGAAGGACUGGUUAAAGGAUACGACAUCGGCUGAGUAUGCCUUCACGACUAGUAUAUAUAUGUUCACUAUUCUAUGUUUUUUUGUCCCAGAUUUGCAUCCUUGGAUCCUAGUUUGAGUGGUAAAAGUGCAGAACCAGUAUAUCGUGAUGCAAAAGGGAAAGCUAUUUCAAAGGAAGAGCUACUGAAACCAAAGGAGGAAGAGAAACCAAAGUUUACGAAUCUCAAGUACUCCAGAGUUGAAA